RNAcentral lists this ribosomal RNA (253 nucleotides) under uncultured bacterium. Its description in RNAcentral is "partial 16S ribosomal RNA". It matches the Rfam family "Bacterial small subunit ribosomal RNA", at positions 524 to 776 of the family's 1533-position model. The record is from RNAcentral.
GACGUAGGGCGCGAGCGUUGUCCGGAUUUAUUGGGCGUAAAGAGCUCGUAGGCGGCUUGUCGCGUCGACUGUGAAAACCCGCGGCUCAACCGUGGACACGCCUUCGAAACUGUGAAGCUUGAGGCUGGGAGAGGAGAUCGGAAUUCCUGGUGUAGCGGUGAAAUGCGUAGAUAUCAGGAGGAACACCGGUGGCGAAGGCGGAUCUCUGGACCAGUUCUGACACUGAUGAGCGAAAGCCAGGGGAGCAAACAGG